This 7396-nucleotide long non-coding RNA is filed under the name Triticum aestivum (bread wheat). RNAcentral's name for it is "long non-coding RNA (TAES_LNC016387)". The record is from RNAcentral. Lineage: Eukaryota; Viridiplantae; Streptophyta; Magnoliopsida; Poales; Poaceae.
UCGUGACUCACCAGAUACUUCCAAAACCAGUUUGCAGGUGCCUAUGUUACCGAGCAGGUGACGCAACCAAGCUCAAGGAGGAGCUCGAUGAAGAUCUUGCCCUUUGUGUUGUUUCGUUCUAGUUGAUCAGUAGUGGAGCCCAGUUGGGGUCGAUCGGGGACCUUUGUCGCAUUUGGGGUUCUUCUUUUAUUUUGGUUCCGUAGUCGGACCUUGAUUGUAUCUGGAUGAUGUAAUGCUUUAUUCAUGUAAUUGUGUGAAGUGGCGAUUGUGAGCCAACUGUGUAUCUCUUUCCCUUAUGUAUUACAUGGGUUGUGUGAAGAUUACCUCACUUGCGACAUUGCUUUCAAUGCGGUUAUGCCUCUAAGUCGUGCUUCGACACGUGGGAGAUAUAGCCGCAUCGAGGGCUUUACAAGUUGGUAAUCAGAGCCUUCCCCGACCUUAGGAGCCCCACUGCUUGAUCAUUUUUAGCAGCCGAGUUGUGUCUAGAAAAAUGUUUUGAGUCAUUUAGGAUUAUAUAUAUCGGAGAGUUAGGAAUUCUUUUUACUCCCCAGUCUCUUCAUCGCUCUGGUAAGGCAUCCUGACGUAGAGUUUUGACUCUUCUCUUCUCAAAUUUCACUAAAAAAAUUUUAGGAUCACGCGGGUAUCUUGGAAUCGUUCCGAUGGUUUUAUGAUGAGAACAUUGUCUUGGUGCCUCCUGUCAGGGGUUUAGUAGAAGUGUCCCGGGGAGUUGAGCUCUGAGGUGUUGUCGUCAUAAUUUUAUCGUUGCAGUUCUGGAAUACCUAAGUUUAGUACGCUGACAUCGAAAAUCUCUUUUAUGCAGUUGUUGGUGAGAUAACCCCGAUAACCCAGUACUGAGGUGAGUACGGGAGUAUUGCCAUGACUCGUAUAACGGAUGCUUUUCGAAGGUUGAGGUAAACGAUUUCCGAAGGUUUCUUGGUUAUGUGUUGAAGGAUGGAUACAGCUAGAUGUAGGGUUUGCUAGUCUGGGUGAGAUAUUAUGCUUCCCCUGUAUCCCCAACACCCGAUUGCAUAACCGGAAAAUUUCGGGAGUUUCAUAGGUGGGAAUUCAAGUAGCUCUUAGGAUAUCUUUCCGAUGGAUGUAUGAUAUGAAAUUGGGGUUCGACGUCUAGUGGUCCGCCUAUUCACGGUUCGUUUUACAGUGGUCUUGCUGUGUCUUAAAGAGUCCGUGGCUAUGCCGACUCGGGGACGCUUCGUAUGUCAUGUGCACUGCCUUGUACAUGAUGGUGUUGUACGAUCGAGCCCGUGUAGGCCCCACCACGAAAACUUCGGACGAAAUCUCUAUCAUAUGUUUGUUCCGGCUUAUUCUGCAAGCCAGUCCUUUGUUUUUGUUUUGAGUUGUGGUAUUCGAGUUGCUUCAAUGUCAAGUGUUGAUUCCAUACCUUUCCGAAAUGGUGUUCUCAUACUCCGAUGUGAAUACCAAUCCUUCUCGACAAUCGAGAUUGUCAUGUCAAUCCUUUUCAACCGGCGUGUUUCUCUUCAAGUGGAUCCGAUCACUUCAACAUUAGCAAGACCAAUUAUCAUUUCUUCUCAACGGUGUUUGUUUCAUCCAUCUCCAAGUUGCCUUUGUUUUUUCCCGCCCACCCACCCUUUUUCCUCAAGGACUAAGAUGUCUUUACCAAGUAUCCUUUUAUUUUUGUGAAGUUUCUCCAUUCUUUUCCGUCAAUGUUCUUACCCGGUGGUUCUCAAGAAGAUGUUCUACUAGUUCGUCAUUCCUCAUUCCUUUCUCUUCUCCGGUGGAUUCAAGUCAAGUUUUGUUGAUCAUACCNNNNNNNNNNUAAGAUUUCUUUACCAAGUAUCCUUUUAUUUUUGUGAAGUUUCUCCAUUCUUUUCCGUCAAUGUUCUUACCCGGUGGUUCUCAAGAAGAUGUUCUACUAGUUCGUCAUUCCUCAUUCCUUUCUCUUCUCCGGUGGAUUCAAGUCAAGUUUUGUUGAUCAUACCUUUUUCCUCAUUUCAAUGUCUUCUCAUACCGGUGCACCUCAUUAUCAUUCUACUUCUCGCUAUUUGUUAUUCCGGAGUGCUCAAGAUAUCUCGAAGAUUCGUGUUUCCACUCUGCAUUCGUUCAAGCUCUUUCGAGAUUGGUAUCUCAUUCAAGUCAUUUAAUUCAACCGGUGCAACAUCUCUUUUAAAUCUUUUCAACGGUGUUCUUUUGAGUGGGCCCUAACCCACAGGUCUUUUCCCAGGAUCUUACCUGACUCUUCUAAUUCUUUCCGGAGUUAUUCUCAAAUUCAUUGCAAAGUUUGACGUAAGAAUGAGUUAUCAUCAGUCAAAUGUCUUCCUCCAAGAUCUUUCAAAUUAUUUUUUCAUUGUUGGCUCAACCUCUUUGUUUUUCAUUCUCCCGCGGUAUCUCAACAAUUCAUGGUGGUGUUUUUCGUCGUCAUUCUCGAAUUUUGAAGACUGAAGAAGAGUUUCUCUUAAAUCUUGCUCCAUUCUCUUCAAGCUUCAUGGUUCUAGAUUGAUGCCAUUCUCUCAUAAUUGUUUCGAUUGUGAGAAUUCUUUUCAUACCCAUCCGGAGCAUUUCAUGAGUUGUUUCCACUACUUUCCUCUGAAGGCCAUCAUUUCAUAAUUCCUCAUUCUCAGCUUUCAACUCUUGUUUUCCAAAUCUUACCGGUGAAUCAUUCAAAUAUCCUCUAAUCAGUUCAUGAUCUCUUCAUUCUCUUGUAUCUAAAUCCUCUCAACUAUCUUCGUUUUCUUUUUCUCCAAUUCUUCCCGGUGAUUUGUGCAUUUGCUACGUUCAAUUUCAAUUCUUACGGUGGUUCGUUCAAGAGUUCUCUUUCUUUGUUAUCAUAUCAAUUCAUUCGUCCUUUCCAAAUCCUACCGGUGGUUCGUAGAAGACCUUCUCAAGUUUUGAUAUAUCUCUUUUAAUCCUUUCUACGAGAAUAAGUAGUAUGCCACAUCCGUUGAUUGUCAUCAAUUUAAUUGGUGAAGGAUAAACAUAACAUAAUUCUUAUUAUUAUUUCAUCCAAGUGAUUAAUUCUUUCUUCCGGAGUUCGUAAUGGUAUCAAUUUCCCAGUUCUAAGUUGUUCAUCUCUUCUUUUCCGUAGUUCAAAGUUUUCUCAUUAUAUCGUCCUGAAGCUCCAUCUAAAUUAUCGCAAGGCUUCACCUUGUGUUCCCAAAUUCUAUUUCCUUCUAUCAUCCUUUUAUUACCGGAGUUCUUUAUGGAGGCUACAUGAUGGUUCACAAAGGAUUUUAAUUCAUUCUCGAAGCGUUCUUCAAGAUUCUUUUCAGCGGAGCUCAAGUAUUCUUUAUCUUGCAUUUUAAAGUGCAAUUCUUUCAACCAUAUCAUUUGAGGUGGUGUUAUGUCACUCUUGACAAUUUCCCUUGGUUAUUCAAGUUGUCAAGAUUGAGGUAUUUUAAGUCCAUCAAUCUCCUUGUUGGAGUUAUCUUGGUAUAGAUUUCACCUAAAGCCUUCCCUAAGGAAUGUCGCUAUUUUGGUGCUUAUUAAUGACCCAAGUUAUCUCUUUUCCAUCUUGAUGGAACAAGUUUUUCAUCUCUUUGGUGCUCUCAAUCAAAUCAAUUAUUUCCGUUAGUGGCCGUUUGUCACCUCAUAAUUUUGAGAUGUUUCUAUAAGCCCACUACAAGCUUAUUCUUUUCGUUUCGUUGUUGGUUUUCCAACAACUCCGUUCAAUCCUUCUUUUUAAAGAUGCUCUCUCAAAUUCAUUUGAGGUAGUACAUGUUGUUUUUUUCUCCAUUCUUUUAUUCCAAUGAUCUAUCUUCUAUUCUUUCUUCCGGAGGCAUUGUGAUGUUGCUCUCUUCGCUCAUCAUCUCAAAUUGAGAGGACCGUGUUCUUUCCAUGCUUACCCAUUUAACCGGAGUGUUGUAUCUUCUCUGCUCAAGUUCUUUUCAUCUUAUCAAGUCUUUCAUCUCUUUUCAGUUGGAGUGUUUCCCAAAUUAUAUCAAUCUUAUUCCUUCUCUAUCUUGUUUAACCAGAGUGGUUUCAAUAUCUAUCUUGUCACUUAACCUCUUGGGUCUCGUCGUAUCCCACGUUCCUCUUAUCUAACGGAUUGUUUGCAGUCUCGUUCAUCUCUGUUGUGCUCUUUCUUUUAAACUUUUCAACCUCUCAAGGUUCUUUGGUUUCACUCUUUUGUCGAAGAAGCAACUUAGUUUUACCUCUUCUCUUCCUCUUCCGUUUUCUCUCCGGUGCCAUCCUAGAUCUCGGGACGAGAUCCUCUUGUAGUGGUGGAUUGUUUUAACGCCCCAAGUCCGAUGCUCGAGAAUACUUCCAUAUAUUCCGGGUUUCGCCGUGUGUUUCAUUUGUGCUUGAUCUAUUUAUUUUUGCAUUGCAUCAUGUCAUCAUGCCACCAUUUCAUAAAUCUUUUGCAACUCAACUAAAUAAAUGGCAUGGAUCUUUGAUCCAUUUAAAUCGAGGGAUAUUCACAUGGUGAUUUCUCUUUAAAACAUAUUCAAAGUCUCCUACUAUUAUUAGGGAGCUACAAUAAAUAUUUCAUUUUUUGGAGUUGAUCAUAACAGACUUGCAAAUUAUCCUAAUGCCUUUGUUAUCUUAACUCUUGGUGUCCGACCUUGCCAUAUAUUCUUUCAUCAUAUUCCGGAGCUCCACCAAAAAUCCGAACAUUUUUGGACCUUCCCAACCCUCACUUCCUAUUCAAAUCAUUUGAUUUAAAUUCAAAUGAGUUUGAAUCUAAAUCUUUCAAUCAUGGCCUUUCUAUUUUUCUUGGAACGACCAUAUUUUUGCGAAUCCAGAAAAAUUACCCCCAUGCUCAAAUUAUUUCUCCAACCCUUUCUUUAUCUCCUUUUUCUUUCUUUGCUAUUUACUGCUUUUGCUAAAUAAAAGAGAGAGGGAGAAGAGAGCCCAGCCAGACCUCUGGCCACUCCUUUCUCCACCUGGGCCGACCCAGCCCACCUCCUCAGGCCCAGCCGGACCCACCUAUCUAACCCUAGCCCGACCAUGCUCUCUCUCGAUCCCUCGCUCUCUCCCUCGUUCCCCUCCCUGCGCCGCCACACGCACGCAUCGAGCCAAGGAGUGGAGCUCCCUGCACCCGAUCCCUUCGCCGGCUUGCCGCCUCCACCACGAGUCCUCCUCCAUCGCGCCGUCCCUACCUUCCCCUCGUCGCCUCCUCCCUCCGCUGUGCGCGAGGCCGUUCAGCCCCUUGCCCGGCCUCUGCAACACCACCACCUCCGUCAGCUGCGCCUGUGCGCCUCCUCCUCGCCAAGCCCUGUUGCCCGAGCGCUCGAGGAGAGGAGCUCCUCGAGCACCUUCGCCCGCAGGCGUCGUCCUCCAUGCCCAGCAGAAGCCCGCGUUGCUCGCCUCUCACCGCCGACCUGCCCGUCCUCGCAUCUCCGGCCUCGUCCCUGACCCGAGCUGUCGGAUCCGACCGGAUCGAGCUGGCCCGCGUCCACCACCACCACCUUGCUCUGUCGCCCGCUUCCCCUGCGACCUCGCGUCAUCCCGCUGCCCGUCCUCCCCGGCGUGCCCGACCUCUUCACCCCGUUGAUUCCCCGCUGCUCCUCCUCAUGCCUCGUUUAAACUAGCCUAAAUAGGUAGUUUUAUUAUGCUCCACCUCUUGCCAUGUUAAUUAACGUUUAAUAAUUGUUGAGUAUCAUAAACGAGAGAGAACUAAAUAAUUGAUGUGGUGUUUCGUCAAUAUGCAACUCGUUGCAUAUUGAGCUCCACUUAACUUGUAGUGUUGUUUGUUGCAUAUUGCCAUGCCAUGCCUCUUUAAACCGGACAUGCAUCAUACUUGUUUCUGCAUCAUGACAUGUUUAUGCUUGUGUGUUUACUAUAUUGUUUGCUUCUUUCCGGUUUGCUUCUCUCGUUAGCUUCGGUUUCGUUCCGGAGUUGUGAGGAUUCGUUCGACUACGUCCGUUUGUCUUCUUCAUGGACUCGUUCUUCUUCCUUGCGGGAUAUCAGGCAAGAUGAUCAUACCCUCGAAAUCACUACUAUCUUUGAUAUUCUAGUUUGCUCGCUCUUUUGCUAUGCCAAUGCUACGAUGCCUACCAUUUGCUUGUCAGCCUCCCAAAUUGCCAUGUCAAACCUCUAACCCACCAUGUCCUAGAAAACCGUUGAUUGGCUAUGUUACCGCUUUGCUCAGCCCCUCUUAUAGCGUUGUUAGUUGCAGGUGAAGAUUGAAGUUUGUUCCUUGUUGGAACAUGGAGAUGUUGUUCCUUGUUGGAACAUGUUUACUUGUUGGGAUAUCACAAUAUAUCUUAUUUAAUUAAUGCAUCUAUAUACUUGGUAAAGGGUGGAAGGCUCGGCCUUAUGCCUGGUGUUUUGUUCCACUCUUGCCGCCCUAGUUUCCGUCAUAUCGGUGUUAUGUUCCCGGAUUUUGCGUUCCUUACGCGGUUGGGCUAUAAUGGGAACCCCUUGACAGUUCGCCUUAAGUAAAGCUCCUCCAGCAAUGCCCAACAUUGGUUUUACCAUUUGCACUAACAACCUACCACCUUCCCUUGGGUUCUGCAGACUCAAGGGUUAUCUUUAUUCUAACCCCUCGGGCCAGUGCUCCUCUGAGUGUUGGUCCGAACUGAGCUGCCUGCGGGGCCACCUCGAGGAAACUUGAGGGUUGGUUUUACUCGUAGCUAGUCUCAUUUGAGUGUGCCCUGAGAAAGAGAUAUGUGCAGCUCCUAUCGGGAUUUGUCGGCACAUUCGGGCGGUGUUGCUGGUUUAGUUUUACCCUGUCGAAAUGUCUUGUUGUACCGGGAUACCGAGUCUGAUCGGAGUGUCUCGGGUGGAGGUCUAUUCCUUCGUUGACCGUGAGAGCUUGUCAUGGGCUAAGUUGGGACACCCCUGCAGGGAUUUGAACUUUCGAAAGCCGUGCCUGCGGUUAUGGGCAGAUGGGAAUUUGUUAAUGUCCGGUUGUAGAAAACCCGAAGUUGACCUUAAUUAAAAUACAUCAACCGCGUGUGUAACCGUGAUGGUCUCUUCUCGGCGGAGUCCGGGAAGUGAACACGGUGUUGGAGUUAUGUUUGACGUAAGUAGUUUCAGGAUCACUUCUUGAUCGCUACUAGCUUCACGACCGUGCCUUGCUUCUCUUCUCGCUCUCUUUUGCGAUUGUAGCCACCAUAUAUGCUAGUCGCUUGCUGCAGCUCCACCUCAUUACUCCAUCCUUCCUAUAAGCUUAAAUAGUCUUGAUCUCGCGGGUUUUGAGAUUGCUGAGUCCUCGUGACUCACCAGAUACUUCCAAAACCAGUUUGCAGGUGCCUAUGUUACCGAGCAGGUGACGCAACCAAGCUCAAGGAGGAGCUCGAUGAAGAUCUUGCCCUUUGUGUUGUUUCGUUCUAGUUGAUCAGUAGUGGAGCCCAGUUGGGGUCGAUCGGGGACCUUUGUCGCAUUUGGGGUUCUUCUUUUAUUUUGGUUCCGUAGUUGGACCUUGAUUGUAUCUGGAUGAUGUAAUGCUUUAUUCAUGUAAUUGUGUGAAGUGGCG